CUGAGAACUGCCUGGCCCUGGGGGACCUGCUGGGUGGAAGCCUAGUUUGCAGAGGACAAGCGGAGGCCAUUGGAGUCAAGGUGGUGGUAACCUGUGACACAUGAAGCCAGCUCCUGGUUAUCCACCUGAGCUCCAGCAUGAUUGAGUCACACUGGGGGGGGGGGGGUUGCUUCACCUCCCUGAGCCUCAGUUUCUUCAUCUGUUAACUGUGGGCAUGGGGACAUGAAGGUAGAAACAGACCUCCAGUGACUGCAACUAUCAGCACAGAGCAGGUCUCCAUUGAUAGACCCCACAGGCCAGGGCACCUGGUGCCCAACGUGGGGCCUUUUUGGGUCUGGGGUCUGAGAGAACGUCGCUCUCCAAUGGUCGACCGCAAAGCAUAGGAUCACCGCUUCAGUUAAGGAGUGAGAGAAGGUCCGCACCACAGAAUCGCCCAUCUGUGAGACUGAUCUGCUUAAGGAAAAUGAGUGGACUCAAGAUACCACAAGUGUUCCUGUGGAUGAUCCUUCUAUGUCAGUGGAUGUCUACAAUAGUGCCUAUUAAGAGAGGAGCUACCUCCCAGUUUGCCUGGCGAUUUUUCCUGACAGAAAACUACACCAACUAUGCUAAAACACAAAAUUAUGGUCAUCUUUUAGCCACAGCUGAUUGUCCACCUUCCGGGUGCCAAUCUGCCAUCAUGUUAAAUUUUACAGAUUUUAAGGCACAGCCCGGGAAGAUUGCCCCUGCCCUGUGCUUUCUGUUUGACCAACGUUAUUCCUAUUGCACAGACAGAUGGAUUGAAGAGAACGUGGGCUGCCCCUAUAGAUCAUGUAACAUCCAUAAUGUUAAGACCCUAAAAAGUAAUGAAGUUAUUACACAGCUUCCCAACAAUAGCCAUAAUUUUUUUCGCUCCUCCACAGGCUAUACCUGGGUUGUUUGGGAUCCCUGGGAUUCCCGCUGGACCACGCCAGUCAAAGGAGCUAUGUAUAUGACCAAAGAUGAAACCUGGCCUAGCAGCCGUGUUUAUAUUUGGCGUGCUCUUGUUCAAGUUCAAACAACCCCUUCAUGCUGAAAUUCAAACACAUGAGAAGGAGCUAAAUACACAGCUCUCAGCUUUAGCUACACACCACCCCUUUUCCUGGCUAUCUCUAUUGAGAGAAGGCCUAGUGCUUGCCAAUAUCACUGGCCGUGGCAAUGUUUCUGCAUGUUUUCUUUGUGCCAUGUUAGGACGUCCCCUUUGACGGCAGUUCCAUAUCCCACCUCAUUAAAUACUUCUGAUACAUCUGGUAAGGCCUUUUCUCCCAUUUUUGAAGUUUCUUUGUUCCUAGCUCCUGAACAAGAACAAUUUAGGUUUUGUUAUUCCAAUGCCGGUACUAGGUUGUGCAGUCAGACUGCCUUACCUGUCACAGAUCUUAUUGCCCCUGAUGGGUUUUUCUUUUGGUGUAACGGUACCAUUUUUAAAAAUCUUUCUAACCAAAUAGAUGAGAGAUUGUUAUGCCUUCCAGUUACCUUAGUACCCCAGUUGACCCUGCUUACUCCUGCUGAGUAUUUAGGCUGGGACAGCCCCUCAUCCCCUAGAACAAAAUGGGCUGUUUUUCUUCCUUUAGUGGCUGGCGUUUCUCUUGCAAUAUCCGUUGUGGCUGCUGGUCUGGCUGGAGGAGCCUUGGGUCAUUCCCUUCUUACCACAGCUAAGCUCUCCCAACAGUUCUCAUUGGCGGUAGAAGCCUCGGCCGAAUCUUUAGCCUCCUUACAGAGACAACUAACCUCCCUUGCCCAAGUUGCCUUACAGAAUUGGCGAGCUUUGGAUCUCCUGACCGCGGAAAAGGGUGGCACCUGCUUGUUUUUGAAAGAAGAGUGCUGCUUCUAUGUUAAUGAGUCCGGUUUAGUGGAGACCCAAGUUACACAAGCUUAGUGUUAAAUUACAAAAACAAAAAUUUUCUGCUGCUGCUGAUAGUUGGUAGAAAUCCUCCAUGUUCUCCCUUUUGAUGCCCCUUAUGGGACCCCUGGUUAGUCUCUUGUUAAUGAUUACCUUGGGGCCCUUUAUUUUUAAUAAGAUUACUGGCUUUAUAAAACAACAAAUUGACUCCUUGGCUUCGAAACCCUUACAAAUACAUUAUCACAGACUUGAUUUGGCUGACAGAGGCUUGGCUGAACCUGAAGGUGACAGACCUCCCUCCUUUAGGAGCUGCAUAAAACUUAGAUUUAUGCACGCCAGCCUUGGCGUGGCGUGGGCAGCGGCAAGGGGUGCAAGGCUAAGUACUGCAGGGGGAGGACCCAAUUGUCUGCCUCUGAGUCCCCCAUGAAGCAAACCUGAUUCGCAUAGAGGUUGGUGUCAAUCUUCAGACCACUCACCGUGGGCCUUCCCCACCAAAAAAAAAAUAAUAAUAAUAAUAAAAAUAAAGGCUCUACCUCUCCUCCCCAAAAGACACCAAGAGCCAUAUGAGAUGCAGGAAGAUCAGCUCUAUAUUUACCCCACGGGAGGAAUCAGGUCAAUACAUCUUCCCUCUGGUUAAUGCCCACUCAUCUGUUGAUGAGAUCUCCUAACUCUCACCCUCAUUUUCCCGCCUCAUUUAAAUUGUAAAAAGGGAGGAGAUGCCGGGGGCCAAGGCCUUAGCUAAGUCUCUCAUAUGGUAAGUUAUAGAACAUCCUGAAAGUAGCCGGUAAGAACAUUUAUGGGUAGAGAGGAAAUUCUGACCAUUGGUUCCAAGAACUGAGAUUACCAUAUGACUGGAAAGUCCCUCGCCCUCCUCCUCCCCCCAUGAUCUUAGAUGAACUUCCUCCUUGCUUGUGCUUAUAUUGCUGCUGUGAAAUAAAGUUUUCAGAGCUUGAUCAGA
Molecule: long non-coding RNA, 2813 nt
Organism: Erinaceus europaeus (western European hedgehog)
Lineage: Eukaryota; Metazoa; Chordata; Mammalia; Eulipotyphla; Erinaceidae
Exons: 3
Source: RefSeq, a predicted model, not a curated record